GCAGGAGUUGCCAAGCCUGGUCAACGGUGCUAGACCGAGGCUCUAGUCUCAUAGGAGUUCGAGGGUUCGAAUCCCUCCUCCUGCA
This 85-nucleotide transfer RNA is filed under the name Promethearchaeota archaeon. RNAcentral's name for it is "Candidatus Lokiarchaeota archaeon (permafrost metagenome) tRNA-Leu". It matches the Rfam family "tRNA". Rfam says of the family: Transfer RNA (tRNA) molecules are approximately 80 nucleotides in length. Their secondary structure includes four short double-helical elements and three loops (D, anti-codon, and T loops). Further hydrogen bonds mediate the characteristic L-shaped molecular structure. tRNAs have two regions of fundamental functional importance: the anti-codon, which is responsible for specific mRNA codon recognition, and the 3' end, to which the tRNAs corresponding amino acid is attached (by aminoacyl-tRNA synthetases). tRNAs cope with the degeneracy of the genetic code in two manners: having more than one tRNA (with a specific anti-codon) for a particular amino acid; and 'wobble' base-pairing, i.e. permitting non-standard base-pairing at the 3rd anti-codon position. RNAcentral also lists the same sequence under 2 other names. Lineage: Archaea; Promethearchaeati; Promethearchaeota. The record is from RNAcentral.